CUUUUUUACAGUUAUAUGUUACUGUAUUUAUCAUGUUCAGUCUAAUUGAAUUUAUUGAUGUUCAUUGUAUUUAAAGCAAUCAUUUUAUAAGCACUUUAUUGUUUUAUAUACUUUUGUAAGUCCUAUGUGGUGCUUUCAUUUCUCCAUUGAGCUUUCCUAGCCCUAUUGGCCAUGUGAGCUAUUGUUAUCACUUUUAAAAUCUCAGGAAUGUUAACGAAAUUCUGGUGGAAUAAAGGGGGAUUUGAAGUAAUUUAUCUGAUUGUUUAGCCGUGUUUCAUUUCAAGUAUUCAGUUAUUUGUAUACGCCUGCCUUUUAAGACGGAACACAUUAUUGUUAAAAAAAAAAUGUCUGUGUUAACAUGUUGCACCAUAUUUUGAGUUCAUCCUAUGCGAAUUACUUCAAACUUAACAUAAUUUUUUGUGAUGGUCUCAAGGUCUGUUUAUUUUCUGUUGAAAAUCCUUUUUUUUUUGUUAACAAGUUUUUGCACUUUCCUCUUUUUUGCGCCGUUACUUAAGAAUAUCUCUUACAUUGCAUUUCAAAGUUAAUCGCUGUGGUGGUGUAGAAUCUGCAUAUUUCUACAAUAUAUAGGUGUAUCAUGCUCUCAUUGUGCAGCAG
RNAcentral lists this long non-coding RNA (615 nucleotides) under Mytilus galloprovincialis (Mediterranean mussel). The record is from RNAcentral. Lineage: Eukaryota; Metazoa; Mollusca; Bivalvia; Mytilida; Mytilidae.